Molecule: RNase P RNA, 417 nt
Filed under: Bacteroidales bacterium
Lineage: Bacteria; Pseudomonadati; Bacteroidota; Bacteroidia; Bacteroidales
Description: RNase P RNA component class A
Rfam family: Bacterial RNase P class A
About the family: Ribonuclease P (RNase P) is a ubiquitous endoribonuclease, found in archaea, bacteria and eukarya as well as chloroplasts and mitochondria. Its best characterised activity is the generation of mature 5'-ends of tRNAs by cleaving the 5'-leader elements of precursor-tRNAs. Cellular RNase Ps are ribonucleoproteins.
Source: RNAcentral
UUGGCAAAAACAGACUGUCGCCGCGUAGCAAUGCGCGGAGGAAAGUCGGGACAGCGCAGGGUGCCAUACUUCCUAACGGGAAGGGCUUUGCGACGCGAGGAGCAAAGUACAGCAAGUGCCACAGAAAUUAUACCGCCAGGUCGGCUUGCCGACAGGUAAGGGUGAAAUCGUGAGGUAAGAGCUCACGCCUGGCCGGGGCGACCCGGCUUGUGGGUAAACCUUAUGGGCUGCAAGGCCAAAUAUACCGGCAUUUUUGUUGCGGAUUCGUCCGUGGCAAAUCAAGGGCGACCCGUCUGGCGCCGGUGGGUAGGCUGCUCGAGGCUGCCAGUGAUGGCAGUCCUAGAUAAAUGACAGUCGCCGUUCUUUGCCCGAGGGCAACGAGCGCUACAGGGUCCCGCUUAUGGGUUUGCCAACAAA